Molecule: ribosomal RNA, 428 nt
Filed under: uncultured bacterium
Lineage: Bacteria
Description: bacterial SSU rRNA
Rfam family: Bacterial small subunit ribosomal RNA
Source: RNAcentral
UCGAUGCAACGCGAAGAACCUUACCUGGGCUUGACAUGUACGUAGUAGUGAAGGGAAACCGGAACGAGCCUUCGGGCAGCGUAGACAGGUGCUGCAUGGCUGUCGUCAGCUCGUGUCGUGAGAUGUUGGGUUAAGUCCCGCAACGAGCGCAACCCGUGUUGCUAGUUACAAGUGUCUAGCGAGACUGCCGGUAACAAGCCGGAGGAAGGUGCGGAUGAUGUCAAGUCAGCAUGGCCUAUAUGUCCAGGGCUACACACACGCUACAAUGGCUGGUACAAAGAGAAGCGAAAGGGAGACCUGAAGCGAAUCUCAUCAAAGCCAGUCAUAGUUCGGAUUGCAGGCUGCAACUCGCCUGCAUGAAGUUGGAGUUGCUAGUAACCGCAGGUCAGCAAUACUGCGGUGAAUACGUUCCCGGGCCUUGUACACAC